GAUGAAGAACGUAGCGAAAUGCGAUAAGUAAUGUGAAUUGCAGAAUUCAGUGAAUCAUCGAAUCUUUGAACGCACAUUGCGCCCGCCAGUAUUCUGGCGGGCAUGCCUGUUCGAGCGUCAUUACAACCCUCAGGCCCCCGGGCCUGGCGUUGGGGAUCGGCGGAAGCCCCCUGUGGGCACACGCCGUCCCUCAAAUACAGUGGCGGUCCCGCCGCAGCUUCCAUUGCGUAGUAGCUAACACCUCGCAACUGGAGAGCGGCGCGGCCAUGCCGUAAAACACCCAACUUCUGAAUGUUGACCUCGGAUCAGGUAGGAAUACCCGCUGAACUUAAGCAUAUCAAUAAGCGGAGGA
RNAcentral lists this unclassified non-coding RNA (352 nucleotides) under soil metagenome. Its description in RNAcentral is "partial contains 5.8S ribosomal RNA, internal transcribed spacer 2, and large subunit ribosomal RNA". The stretch from base 1 to 120 matches the Rfam family "5.8S ribosomal RNA", at positions 35 to 154 of the family's 154-position model. The record is from RNAcentral.